This is a long non-coding RNA of Cimex lectularius (bed bug), 570 nucleotides long. RefSeq lists it as uncharacterized. The transcript is spliced from 2 exons. The record is from RefSeq and is a predicted model, not a curated record. NCBI's taxonomy places the organism in Eukaryota, Metazoa, Arthropoda, Insecta, Hemiptera, Cimicidae.
AAUGGGAAGGCGUCGCCGACUACGAGCAGGGUCACAUAUAUAAGUCCGCGUCGACUUGUGAUUUGAACAGUCGCUUGUCUGUUUUCCUCAUGGCUAAGUUCAUCUUUUUGUUUGUCUGCGUUGUGGCCAUUCUGGCUAUGGUUGCUGCUGAACCGGAGCCCAAAGCCGACCCGGGUAGCGACCAUGGCAGCCACCCAGGUAGCCAUCCAAGUAGCCACUCAGGUGGAAGUCAGAGCCGUCCCUUUGGAGGGAGUCACCACAGUCCGUAUGGUCACGUGGCACAUGGACACAAUAAGGGACAUGAAGAGAAACACCACCACUAAAACUUAAAAAUUGCUAGAAACAAUAAACGGACACCUGUACCUUUCAGUCCAAUGUUGAUCGUUCAAAGUUUUAAAUAAAACUAUUCAAUAUUUUUAUAUCACGUUUAUUACAAUAUAAUAAAAGAAUAUUACUUAAAGCUGUAUCAUUUUUAAAUUCAGGCUAACAACCUCAAAAUUUCUUUGUCACAUGUAAAUUGUGUACGUUUCAUCCUUUUUCAUAUGUAUUAUAUAACAACUUCAAGUUGGA